AAGCCCAUCAUUUAGGCGCUCAACGCUCAAUUUGGCCGCUCAGCGGUGGGCCUCAUAAUCGCAGGCCGCUCAAUGCUCAGUUCUACCGCUCAGCGGUGAACCUCCAAGUCGCAGGACGAUCAGCGUCGCCGCUCAAGCGAGAAACAAUGACUUCAUCCUCGAAGCUGGCGCUUAGCGCUGGAAUUGGCGCUGAGCGGUGAACUUGACUUUUCUUUUCUUCCUUUUUUCCUCCUUUCUUGAGUCUAAGUCCUUCCUUCUUCACUUCCAUCCUUCAAAUCUCAUCAAAUCCUGCAAAACAAUGCAAAAACAAGCAUAAUAUCUCUAAAAACAACUCCUGACUCUCUUGUGACUCAACUAAGUGUUUUACAUGAUUCUAAGCUCAUUCUAAGUUAUAAAUGGUGUGAUUUGAUAUCAAAUUUAAGUGUAAAAAUAACGAUUUUUAGACCGUUAUCACAACUUCAAACUUAGAACUUUGCUUGUCCUCAAGCAAACAAGACAAAACUUAGCUUUCCACCUUUCAUCAAAAUAGCUCAACAAUCCCAAAAUUCAUUUUUCUCACAACAAGUAAUUACUCAAUUAUGCUUUUCAGUGGAAUCUUAUCAAGAUGCAUACAUGCUUCAAUUCAAUUCAGUUCACAUAAUCACAUAUUUUCCAACAGAUGCUUUAUCUAUGAAUGAUCAGUCAACUAAGCACAAAUGUAAUCAUGAAAUUUAACAAUCCUCUCCAAGCAAGUGUUUCACUCAAUCACUCAAGUGUUAAAGAGGUCACUCCAUCUCUUUACUAUUCACAUGUCACAUGAAACAAAAUUUCCCUUCAUAUAAUACAAUCAACAUUCUCACAUACAAAUGUCAUCACAAGGACUUUUUCAAAGCUUAUAAUGAGGUUGGGCUAACAAAAAAAAUUGGUUUCCCUUGAGUUAAGAGAGUUAUUUUAACAUUCAAAGUUCAAGCACAAACUCUCUUUUAACCAAUCUCACUCAUUCCCAACUUCUUUCCCUUUUCUUUUAUUUUUACAUUGAGCUCAACUUUCAUGCUUUUUCUUUUCUUCUCUUUUCUUUUCUCAUGCUUUUCUUUCAUUCAACACUUGAACUCAAUGCCUUUCUUUUGACUUUCAAUUUCCCCCAACAACCCCAAACUUGAACCUUAUCAAUACCAUACAAUUAUUCUCAACCCAACUCAAGGUAAAGAUUUUCAAAGCAAGGGUUUUCAUCCUGUUUAAGGCUAAGGUUCAAAAAGGGUAGAACAAAUAGUUCUCUUUACUUUGGG
This 1265-nucleotide long non-coding RNA is filed under the name Vigna radiata. RNAcentral describes it as "long non-coding RNA (VRAD_LNC016978)". The record is from RNAcentral. Lineage: Eukaryota; Viridiplantae; Streptophyta; Magnoliopsida; Fabales; Fabaceae.